AUGGUGGGGAAGCGUUUCUCGUGGGACAAGACAGGCGUGAGCUCCCGCAAAGGGCCCCAUAAUGGUGGGGAAGCGUUUCUCGUGGGACAAGACAGGUGCGAGCUCCUGUGGAGGGGCCCAGAAUGGUGGGGAAGCGUUUCCCGUGGGACAAGACAGGCGCGAGCUCCUGUGGAGGGGCCCAGAAAGGUGGGGAAGUGUUUCCCAUGGGACGAGACAGGCGUGAGCUCCUGCAAACGGGCCCAGAAAGGUGGGGAAGUGUUUCCCGUGGGACGAGACAGGCGUGAGCUCCUGCAAACGGGCCCAGAAUGGUGGGGAAGCGUUUCCCGUGAGACGAGACAGGCGCGAGCUCCCACAGAGGGGCCCAGAAUGGUGGGGAAGCGUUUCCGUGGGACAGGACAGGCGCGAGCUCCGGCAGAGGGCCCGGGAACGGUAGGGAAGGAGAACUUCUGCCUCCAACUGACUUUCUCACUGUGCAACGGCAGAUCCAGAGGAACCUCUGCGUGUGAGGCUCUGCCAGGCUGGGGAGGAGUGUGCGGUCAGCAUGGCUCUGCACUUCUCACCACUGCGGCAGCUUUUCUUAGCUGUGGGGUCCAGGACCGUGUCUCCGCCUUGGUCCUGAGCUCCGGGACACGCACGAUGGUGUUCUUGCCUGUGGAGCUGCUGGCUGAACUCCCUGGUGAUAUCCAUCUUGUGCUAACUACGUGUCAGAUGGCUUUUGAGGUGAUGGGGCUGUAUUGGUUAACAAAGUCCUGGCCUUCAUGCAACUUACAGUCUACUAACGGGAGCUCAUGUGACAUCAGCAAGGAAAUGCACUUAGUCCUUUGUAUCUGCAUUUCUCUCAAAUAAUCUCGAGUGUCAGAUACCAUUCCGGUGUUUGCUGCUCCAAGAACCCAAACAUACACAAUGUUCCAGCAGAGGCUGCACAAAAACAAAGGCCCUGAGGAGCCUGGCAUUUUCCAGGAGCAUCAGGGAGGCCAGCGCGGCGUUUAUGGAGAAGACAGAGGGAGAGUGGGAGAUGAGGCCAGAAACGCACUUGAAGUCCUUGCGGAAGAAAAAUAGUUGACUUGCUUAUUAUAAAACCCUUUUUGUUAAGGAGGAAAUAAAAACUGUUAACCAACGGCAUCUGUAUCCAUUACAGAAUUUAACGGAAGGGCAUCAAACAGCCGGUACCAUACAAUCUUCCAUUAGCAGCGUUCAGCACAUCUGUCUAGGUAGUAAACCUAGGUAGCCCAGUUCUGGGCCAUUAAAAUUUUGAUGUAACCCAUUAACGAAACUUACGGCCUUAGUUCAAAGGGCUGUUGCCGUUGUGUCUGUGAGAGCAGUACUGCAGAGUGCAUUUUAUGCAAAUCUAAUAGAUUUUAAUGAGUGAUCCUGCUUAAUAAGCUAGUUAGGCCAUUCGGGCAUUUACUUGAGAGUGACCACAAAUCCCUUUGUCUGAAACCAUUUCACAGCGCUAACAUUUAACUGAAACAGCACUUAACACAACGCCAGGCACACAGGGAGCACUGAGUGUUAUGUUACUGAUGACAGGGAUGGAGAACAGGGGUCUUACCCAGUGUGUCAGUCUCGAUGCUCCUGAGUGACCCAGACAAAAAAGGACUAGAAUCUUUCUUUUCAGGAGUUUGUGUCUUAGAUCCUUGUUUCACCACAAAGCAUAAGCUUGACGUAGCCUGAACUUGACAGCGCUUUCCACAGGGCACUUAAAAAUACUUUUACCUCCAUAAACCAUGACAGGUCUUUGCUCAGCCUCUGAUAAGCCAAAGAUUAGAAACUCCCUUUAAACUUCAGAAACAGAGCAACACUCAGUCAGGCGGUAAAAGCUGCAGAAAUUGGUCUUGAAUAUCAUCACUGUGUAUCAACUGAAAUCAGAU
Papio anubis (olive baboon) is the source of this 1871-nucleotide long non-coding RNA. NCBI's taxonomy places the organism in Eukaryota, Metazoa, Chordata, Mammalia, Primates, Cercopithecidae. The record is from Ensembl.